GGAAUUGCAUGUCUGUGGUGUUA
Molecule: non-coding RNA, 23 nt
Filed under: Arabidopsis thaliana (thale cress)
Lineage: Eukaryota; Viridiplantae; Streptophyta; Magnoliopsida; Brassicales; Brassicaceae
Source: RNAcentral